AUCUCCUGUUUCUGCCCCAUGUUCUUUAUGCAUCAAUAGAUUAAUGGGUUCUAGUAUGGAGAAGAAUAAGCCUAAUGAUUUGAUUUAAUUUUCUUUUACGUGUUGAUACGAUGUUUAAAGAAGUUUUAUUGAAUUGUUAGGAUCGUGUUACCGAGAUAUCUGUUUUGAAUCUUGAUUUAUAUUUAAAAAUCUUGGUUUAAGAGUUUUGGAACUACAUUU
Molecule: small nucleolar RNA, 219 nt
Rfam family: Small nucleolar RNA snR43